RNAcentral lists this ribosomal RNA (464 nucleotides) under uncultured bacterium. Its description in RNAcentral is "bacterial SSU rRNA". It matches the Rfam family "Bacterial small subunit ribosomal RNA", at positions 36 to 518 of the family's 1533-position model. The record is from RNAcentral.
CUGGCGGCGUGCCUAACACAUGCAAGUCGAGCGAGGAGAUCCUCGGGAUGAUCCUAGCGGCGGACGGGUGAGUAACACGUGGGCAACCUGCCUCAUAGAGAGGAAUAGCCUUCCGAAAGGGAGAUUAAUACCUCAUAACAUUGCAGUUUCGCAUGGAACAGCAAUUAAAGGAGUAAUCCGCUAUGAGAUGGGCCCGCGGCGCAUUAGCUAGUUGGUGAGGUAACGGCUCACCAAGGCGACGAUGCGUAGCCGACCUGAGAGGGUGAUCGGCCACAUUGGGACUGAGACACGGCCCAGACUCCUACGGGAGGCAGCAGUGGGGAAUAUUGCACAAUGGGGGAAACCCUGAUGCAAGCAACGCCGCGUGAGUGAUGACGGCCUUCGGGUUGUAAAGCUCUGUCUUCAGGGACGAUAAUGACGGUACCUGAGGAGGAAGCCACGGCUAACUACGUGCCAGCAGCGGC